This is a non-coding RNA of Cajanus cajan (pigeon pea), 432 nucleotides long. The record is from RefSeq and is a predicted model, not a curated record. Lineage: Eukaryota; Viridiplantae; Streptophyta; Magnoliopsida; Fabales; Fabaceae.
AUCCUUGACUUAGUUGACUAUAUAAUCUUAUUAUAAGCUUUUUAAAUAAUGCUAUCACUGUUUUAAUCGAUGUUUAGCAUAUUGCCCCCAGGGAGAUUUUCCUAUUGAAGUUUUUGUUAUACAAAGAAGUUUACUGACCGGUGACUAUAUUUCUUGUUUCCAGAUACUUUGCAAGUCAUAUCCUGUGGAAUUUGCCUCUUACUUUCACUAUUGCCGCUCUUUGACAUUUGAUCAACGGCCAGAUUAUGGACUUUUGAGACGCCUAUUUCGUAAUUUGUUCACCCGUGCAGGAUACGAUUCCGACUAUUUAUUUGACUGGACCAUUCUAAAAUAUCAGCAGAUGCAACAGCAGAAGACACAGAGUCAAUCUCCUGCACCACAUGCUGUGCUUACUUGUCUUGAACCAUUGGAUGAGGAUAAUCAUAAAGGUAA